This 253-nucleotide ribosomal RNA is filed under the name uncultured bacterium. RNAcentral describes it as "partial 16S ribosomal RNA". It matches the Rfam family "Bacterial small subunit ribosomal RNA", at positions 524 to 776 of the family's 1533-position model. The record is from RNAcentral.
UACGGCGGGUGCGAGCGUUGUCCGGAAUCAUUGGGCGUAAAGGGCGCGUAGGUGGCGGGACAAGCGUGCGGUGAAAGCCUGGGGCUCAACCCCGGGUCGGCCGUGCGAACUGUUUUGCUUGAGCACUGUAGAGGCAGGCGGAAUUCCGGGUGUAGCGGUGGAAUGCGUAGAGAUCCGGAAGAACACCGGUGGCGAAGGCGGCCUGCUGGGCAGUAGCUGACACUGAGGCGCGACAGCGUGGGGAGCAAACAGG